GACGAACGCUGGCGGCGUGCUUAACACAUGCAAGUCGAACGGAAAGGCCCUGCUUUUGUGGGGUGCUCGAGUGGCGAACGGGUGAGUAACACGUGAGUAACCUGCCCUUGACUUUGGGAUAACUUCAGGAAACUGGGGCUAAUACCGGAUAGGAGCUCCUGCUGCAUGGUGGGGGUUGGAAAGUUUCGGCGGUUGGGGAUGGACUCGCGGCUUAUCAGCUUGUUGGUGGGGUAGUGGCUUACCAAGGCUUUGACGGGUAGCCGGCCUGAGAGGGUGACCGGCCACAUUGGGACUGAGAUACGGCCCAGACUCCUAAGGGAGGCAGCAGGGGGGAAUAUUGCACAAUGGGCGGAAGCCUGAUGCAGCAACGCCGCGUGCGGGAUGACGGCCUUCGGGUUGUAAACCGCUUUCGCCUGUGACGAAGCGUGAGUGACGGUAAUGGGUAAAGAAGCACCGGCUAACUACGUG
Molecule: ribosomal RNA, 468 nt
Filed under: uncultured bacterium
Lineage: Bacteria
Description: partial 16S ribosomal RNA
Rfam family: Bacterial small subunit ribosomal RNA
Source: RNAcentral